CCCUUAGAUGUUCUGGGCCGCACGCGUGCUACACUGAGUGGAUCAGCGGGUCAGGUUGCGCGAAAGUGUUUCCUAAUCUUAAAAUCCGCUCGUGAUGGGGAUUGACGGUUGCAAUUUUCCGUCAUGAACGAGGAAUACCUUGUAAGCGCGGGUCAUCAUCCCGCGCUGAAUACGUCCCUGCCCUUUGUACACACCGCCCGUCGCUCCUACCGAUUGAGUGGUCCGGUGAGGCUUUGGGAUCUGAGCGGAAAGAGCGUUUCGCUGUUUCUGCUCGGAAAACUCAGUCGAACCUUAUCAUUUAGAGGAAGGAGAAGUCGUAACA
RNAcentral lists this ribosomal RNA (322 nucleotides) under uncultured eukaryote. RNAcentral's name for it is "partial 18S ribosomal RNA". It matches the Rfam family "Eukaryotic small subunit ribosomal RNA", at positions 1470 to 1796 of the family's 1831-position model. The record is from RNAcentral.